GGGGUCUCAAGAUAAGCCAUGCACGUCUAAGUACAAACUAAAUGAUGGUGAAACUGCAAAUGGCUCAUUACAACGGUUAUGAUGUACCCGGGAGUUCCGAUGGAUAUUUCCAGUAACACUAGAACUAAUACAUGUCCCUGCGUUUAUUAGUUUCGCACAGUCCGUCGCUGAGUCAUGGUAAACAGUUGAUCGACUCGACGUCCCGGAACAGUUUCCGCCCCAUCAGCUUCGAUGGUUGGGUAUUGGCCUACCAUUGCAACAACGGGUAACGAGGAAUUAGGGUUUGAUUUCGGAGAGGGAGCCUGAGAAACGGCUACCACAUCUACGGAUGGCAGCAGGCGCGCAAAUUACCCAAUGCAGACACUGUGAGGUAGUGACGAGAAAUAAUAAAGCGGGACUUCUGUUUCGCUAUUAUAAUGAGGAAUAACCAAAGGUCAUUCCGAUUAGCAACUGAUGGGAAAGUCUGGUGCCAGCAGCCGCGGUAAUACCAGCGUCAGUAG
RNAcentral lists this ribosomal RNA (500 nucleotides) under uncultured Myrionecta. RNAcentral describes it as "SSU rRNA". It matches the Rfam family "Eukaryotic small subunit ribosomal RNA", at positions 34 to 595 of the family's 1831-position model. Lineage: Eukaryota; Ciliophora; Litostomatea; Cyclotrichida; Mesodiniidae. The record is from RNAcentral.